Musa acuminata AAA Group (dessert banana) is the source of this 1595-nucleotide long non-coding RNA. RefSeq lists it as uncharacterized. NCBI's taxonomy places the organism in Eukaryota, Viridiplantae, Streptophyta, Magnoliopsida, Zingiberales, Musaceae. The transcript has 3 exons. The record is from RefSeq and is a predicted model, not a curated record.
CAUUUCCAUCUCUCGGGCCAUCUCCCAUCCGAUCCUGCAUCCAUCGCUCGCGAGGGUCUCGAGGGAUCCCGAAUCGUCGAGUGUAUCCGACACUUCCCAAGCUCUUCUCUCCUCCGGGUAUAGGGUUUCGUUCAAGAAUGGCUCCUCCAGUGGGUUCUUGGAAGGGAUCGAGCGGCGGGAGCCUGAGCUUCUCCGGGUUCCUCGCAUCAGGGAGGGUGGUUCUUGGAAGAGAACGAAUCGUCGCGCCCGAUGGGGUUUUUGGUUCCUAUGCAUCGCAACUUCCUCUGUUCCCGCUAAUGUUUCGUUCAUGAACGGCGCUUCCGACGAGUUCUUGGAAGAGAACGAGCCACGGAGCCGGAGUUCGAACCCGACCAGGUUCUUGGAAGAGGUUUCAUUUCCAAAUCCCCGAGAGGAUCUCGGAUUCCUGCGCUUCCUAAACUUUUAUUUCCUCUCUCAAGGGUUUCGUUCAAGAACGGUGCCUCCAGCGAGUUCUUGGAGGAGGUUUAAGGUGUUCUUUAAUGAGUUUUUGGAAGAUAACUACCCGCGAAGCCGGAGUUUCUUUAAUCUACGUAUGUUCUUUAAAGAAGCCGGAGUUUCCUUUUCUUUGGCUGGCCUUGCCCUCUGCAAUGCCGAUCACAUGGUGAUGUCUGUGGCCAUCGUUCUGCUCUCCAGAGCCCAUGGCAUCGUUCAGGAGAAAAAUGCUCUUCUGGGAAUGGAGAUUUGGGAAGACUGAUAUGGCUUAUGUAAGCAACAUAUCUCUAAGAAGGGCCAAGAAGAGGUUUCUGAAGAUUGGCUUGAGGGGGAGUCAGCAUGGCUUGGUUCGGUCCCGGGUGCGCGAGAUCAUCCACGUCAUCGUUCGGGUGACGAGGAUGGUUGUCAGGUGAGGUCAGGCUUUGGCUCCGGCUCCAAAGUCGGGAAACCCCCCCCCCCUUUGGAUGGUUGUCUGCCUCUCCGUUGUUGGUCCUUGUACACAGGUCGGGGUCGGUAAAGAGGCUCCAAAUUUCGACUCCUUUGAAGACUAUGCGGGGUGUUCUUCGUGUCAUGGCAUCGAACGAUAGUGUCGUACUCGGUGUCGUCCCGAUCUUUACGGGAUGACGUGAUACUUGGUUGGCGCCGUCUCGAUCUUCACGGGAUGACAUUGUACUUGGACGACAGUGUUGCACUCGGUUGGCGCUGUGUACCAGAUCGGCACUGUCCUGAUCUUCGCGGGACGACGUUGUACUCAGUCGGCGCGGUCCCGACUUUUGCGAGACGGCGUUGUACUCUGUUGGCGCUAUCUCGACUCUUGCGGGACGACAUUGUACUUGGUCGGCGUCAUCCCGACUCUUACGGAAUGGCGUCGUACUUGGUUGGCUCCGUCUUGACUUUUAGGGAACGGAGUUGGGGGGGGGUGUGAUCUGGUACGUUGAUCUUGACAUUGAGGUGGCUGUGACUAGUGACAAGAGGACAAAUUACCGAAUGCACUAUCAGUACUUAAAACUGCACAUAUGAUAUAUGCUUUCUGGGGCUUUAGGCUUUUAUGUGGAAACGUUAAUAUUUGUUUAACAUUACAACACGAUUUGUUUAACAUUACAACUUUAAAGGGUUUUGGUGUC